Molecule: long non-coding RNA, 279 nt
Organism: Oryctolagus cuniculus (rabbit)
Lineage: Eukaryota; Metazoa; Chordata; Mammalia; Lagomorpha; Leporidae
Source: Ensembl
AUGCUCAACUACUGGCUUGGGUAUGAUGAAACAAGGGCUUCCACUGGAGCCAUGAUGCUCAAGCAGCUGACUGCUGCUGUCUGCACAGCACAGAUUUUCAUUAAAAAUCAAUUCCAUUUUAACUUUGACAUUUAUUGUCAAUUUGCCAAAGACAAAUUGAAACAUGAAGAUUGUCAUUUCCUGUUUGAUAUGUUGUUCCUGUGUACAAUGUCCAUCUUCCUUAUUUACGUGUAUGCGAUUCCAUCUGGAAUGUUCUCUCUGUGUACUUCUCUUAACUGA